Molecule: long non-coding RNA, 447 nt
Organism: Rhipicephalus sanguineus (brown dog tick)
Lineage: Eukaryota; Metazoa; Arthropoda; Arachnida; Ixodida; Ixodidae
Exons: 4
Source: RefSeq, a predicted model, not a curated record
AAUAGUACCAUCUGCAAUGACGAGGAAUGCAAGAAACUUGUUUUACAGGUAACAAAUCAGAUGGGAUCAUCACCACCUUGCGAUGAUUUUUACAACUAUACAUGCGGUAACUGGGAAGGCGAUAGGGAAUUAAAACACAGGGAAAUAAAGGCCAAAGCAGUAAGAGAUCUCAUAGUGCUUUUGGACAACGCCACUAUAUCACCUCAGUGGAACUCGAAUGCAACUGAGGAGCUGAUCAAUGCCUACAACUCGUGCGUAAAAACAGGAGGAGAUGAAGUCAAGCUUCGAGAAGCGGUAAAGUCUGCCCUGUCUGCCUACGGCUUGAAAGAGUGGCCAAUCCAAGGGAACAACAAUAAUGAAGAUAACGGUUACAAAGAGAUACUCAAGAAAACAGGCCCAAGACCCCUGUUUCGCUAUUUUGUAUCUGAAGAUAACUCUACGCCAAUU